Molecule: ribosomal RNA, 36 nt
Filed under: Plotosus lineatus (striped eel catfish)
Lineage: Eukaryota; Metazoa; Chordata; Actinopteri; Siluriformes; Plotosidae
Description: partial 5.8S rRNA
Source: RNAcentral
AACACUUCUUAGCGGUGGAUCACUCGGCUCGUGCGU